Molecule: ribosomal RNA, 420 nt
Filed under: Bacillus sp. Lgg15.5
Lineage: Bacteria; Bacillati; Bacillota; Bacilli; Caryophanales; Bacillaceae
Description: bacterial SSU rRNA
Rfam family: Bacterial small subunit ribosomal RNA
Source: RNAcentral
CAGGCCUAACACAUGCAAGUCGAGCGAAUGGAUUAAGAGCUUGCUCUUAUGAAGUUAGCGGCGGACGGGUGAGUAACACGUGGGUAACCUGCCCAUAAGACUGGGAUAACUCCGGGAAACCGGGGCUAAUACCGGAUAAUAUUUUGAACUGCAUAGUUCGAAAUUGAAAGGCGGCUUCGGCUGUCACUUAUGGAUGGACCCGCGUCGCAUUAGCUAGUUGGUGAGGUAACGGCUCACCAAGGCAACGAUGCGUAGCCGACCUGAGAGGGUGAUCGGCCACACUGGGACUGAGACACGGCCCAGACUCCUACGGGAGGCAGCAGUAGGGAAUCUUCCGCAAUGGACGAAAGUCUGACGGAGCAACGCCGCGUGAGUGAUGAAGGCUUUCGGGUCGUAAAACUCUGUUGUUAGGGAAGAACA